This is a long non-coding RNA of Hibiscus syriacus, 260 nucleotides long. RefSeq lists it as uncharacterized. The record is from RefSeq and is a predicted model, not a curated record. NCBI's taxonomy places the organism in Eukaryota, Viridiplantae, Streptophyta, Magnoliopsida, Malvales, Malvaceae. The transcript has 2 exons.
CCACAAUGCAACAUGGUUUUCAGCUUUCUCACUAAAACUCAGAAAAAGACAAAAGAUACCAAACUGAAAUCAUAUUUGGAAAGAAGGAAAUGGAGGAAAUAUAUAGCAAUGCCCAUCAGAAACCAGAAGGUAAAUCAGAAAAAAAAAAAACACUUGUAAAAUUAGAGGAAAAUAAUUUCUUCAUACAUGAAUUAAAGGUCAAAAUCACCUCAAGCAUACUCAUAUAAUAAGGAUGAAAUGAAGCAAAUGAUCGGGCUACA